Molecule: ribosomal RNA, 466 nt
Filed under: uncultured bacterium
Lineage: Bacteria
Description: partial 16S ribosomal RNA
Rfam family: Bacterial small subunit ribosomal RNA
Source: RNAcentral
GAUGAACGCUGGCGGCGUGCUUAACACAUGCAAGUCGAACGAAGAAGUCCAGCUUGUUGGGUGGAUUAGUGUCGAACGGGUGAGUAACACGUGCGUAUACUGCCCUUGACUCUGAGAUAAGCCCGGGAAACUGGGACUAAUACUGGUUCGGAGCGCCUGUCGCUCUACGGUUGUUGGUAUGAUUUUGCGGUCUUGGAUAGACUGGUGGCCUAUCAGCUUGUUGGUGUGGUAAUGGCUCACCAAGGCGACGACGGGUAGCCGGCCUGAGAGGGUGACCGGCCACACGGGGACUGAGACACGGCGCAGACUCCUACGGGAGGCAGCAGUGGGGAAGAUUGCACAAUGGGCGGAAGCCUGAUGCAGCGACGCCGCGUGCGGGAUGACGGCCUUCGGGUUGUAAACCUCUUUCAGUAGGGAAGAAGCGAAAGUGACGGUACCUGCAGAAGAAGCACCGGCUAACUACGUG